CAAUAGCGUAUAUUAAAGUUGUUGCAGUUAAAAAGCUCGUAGUUGGAUUUCUGGUGGGAGCGAUCGGUCUGGCGCUUAGCGCGAGUACUUGCAUCGUCUCCGGCCAUCCUUGGGGAGAGUCUGUCUGGCAUUAGGUUGUCGGGCAGAGGAUCCUCAUCGUUUACUGUGAAAAAAUUAGAGUGUUCAAAGCAGGCUUAUGCCGUUGAAUAUAUUAGCAUGGAAUAAUAAGAUAGGACUUUGGUACUAUUUUGUUGGUUUGCGCACCAAAGUAAUGAUUAAUAGGGACAGUUGGGGGUAUUCGUAUUCCGUUGUCAGAGGUGAUAUUCUUGGAUUUACGGAAGACGAACUACUGCGAAAGCAUUUACCAAGGAUGUUUUCAUUAA
Molecule: ribosomal RNA, 383 nt
Filed under: uncultured eukaryote
Lineage: Eukaryota
Description: partial 18S ribosomal RNA
Rfam family: Eukaryotic small subunit ribosomal RNA
Source: RNAcentral